AUUCAUAUAUAUUCAAUUUGCACCAUCUAUUGUUUUGUUCUACAGUCAAAACUGCCCAAGACCUUAUCCCUUUUUUUCCAUCUUUCCCAAGGAGUAAGCAUGUCUUGCGAGCAGUAUCAUUUUUGAUCAUUUCCUUUNNNNNNNAAAAAUGGAUAUGAAAUUCACUCAUCUUCACUUUUAAAUGAACCAUUUGGACAUCGAUACAGGAUAAAAUUGACUAGUGCAAAGGCAAUGAUCUAAAAUGAUACUGCUCGCAAGA
RNAcentral lists this unclassified non-coding RNA (259 nucleotides) under Hevea brasiliensis (rubber tree). Lineage: Eukaryota; Viridiplantae; Streptophyta; Magnoliopsida; Malpighiales; Euphorbiaceae. The record is from RNAcentral.